RNAcentral lists this ribosomal RNA (362 nucleotides) under Bothriocroton auruginans (wombat tick). RNAcentral's name for it is "partial small subunit ribosomal RNA". The record is from RNAcentral. Lineage: Eukaryota; Metazoa; Arthropoda; Arachnida; Ixodida; Ixodidae.
CCUUCUAUUUAGAGCUAAUAAAUUGUUAGUAUACAACAAUUGUGAAAACAAAAAAUCAUGGCGGUAUCUUUAACUUUUCAGAGGAAUUUGCUCUUUUAUGGAUAAAACACCAGAAUCUUACUAAAAUUUGUUAAAACAGCUUGUAUACCACUAUUAAAGUAAUACUUUACUAGUAUUACUUAAAUUUUCUAAAUGAAGAAAAAAUUAAGUCAAGGUGCAGCAAAAAUUUUUGGAUGAAGUGAAUUACAUUUCUUUUUAGAAAAAAAAAUUGAAAGUAAUAAAUAUAGGAUUUGAAAGUAAAUUUUUAAUAAAAUGAUUAAUUGAAAAAAGUUCUAAGAUAUGUACACAUCGCCCGUCGCUCU